RNAcentral lists this ribosomal RNA (252 nucleotides) under uncultured bacterium. RNAcentral describes it as "partial 16S ribosomal RNA". It matches the Rfam family "Bacterial small subunit ribosomal RNA", at positions 524 to 776 of the family's 1533-position model. The record is from RNAcentral.
UACGAAGGGGGCUAGCGUUGUUCGGAUUUACUGGGCGUAAAGCGUGCGCAGGCGGUGAUGUAAGACAGUUGUGAAAUCCCCGGGCUCAACCUGGGAACUGCAUUUGUGACUGCACGGCUGGAGUGCGGCAGAGGGGAUGGAAUUCCGCGUGUAGCAGUGAAAUGCGUAGAUAUGCGGAGGAACACCGAUGGCGAAGGCAAUCCCCUGGGCCUGCACUGACGCUCAUGCACGAAAACGUGGGGAGCAAACAGG